CUACGGAAGCCGGUGGGGGCUGCGUAGGUCCGCCUGGCUCUGGCCUUUCUUCCCAGGGUUGCUCCGUAUGCGCUCUAGCUGUCGGCUCUUGUAAAGAAUUUCUGCAGGCUGAGCCUGGAGUCCACAGACUUCUUGUGACAAUGAGAGAUUCCAUUACAACUUUCUGCUACCUUCUGUGUGAAGACUGCUAAGACUUCUAUUGAAGUGACUCAGGACCCCACAGGUCUGCCAGGACAGCAGGUCAUCUGCAGGCACAGCACUACCCAGCACAAAAUGAAUGAUAUCAAGUUACAAAACCUCUCGCCCUUCAGAAGAGAUGACAAACUUCAGAGGGUCUCUUUCCUGUGGGUGUUCGCUCUGUUAUCAGUCCCUCUGGCGCUGGAAAAUGCCG
Molecule: long non-coding RNA, 391 nt
Organism: Parus major (Great Tit)
Lineage: Eukaryota; Metazoa; Chordata; Aves; Passeriformes; Paridae
Exons: 3
Source: RefSeq, a predicted model, not a curated record